CCCAUGGCUUGAUGCAGUUGUCUUACGAAGGUCAUAUCUUCCUCAUUUCAGCUCCAAAUCGUACACGGUUUAAAUCUUUGGAUUCUUGACUUCCUGAGCUUUGAAAUGGUAUAUAGAAUGUAGAAAAUGGACUUCGGGAAGUGCUCCAAAAGUGUGAAGGAAGACUGCAGCUAUUGUCCUCUGUUUUCUUCACUUUGCUUGAUUUUCCUCUUUGCUUCUCUUUGCUUCUCUCCUUUGCUUGGCUUGUCUUAAUGAUCCAAAAAGCUGUCAAAAUACUAAAACUAGCCACAAAUAUGAUUAGAAGUCAUUGCUAGGUCCUUAACAUGCCAAUUGGAAUAAAGAUGGAGAACUACUAUACAAAAGUGCUUAAAACAUAAUGAAUUAAAGGUGUAAAAUAGCACUUUUUAGGUAGUAAUCA
RNAcentral lists this long non-coding RNA (418 nucleotides) under Vitis vinifera (wine grape). RNAcentral's name for it is "long non-coding RNA (VVIN_LNC000134)". Lineage: Eukaryota; Viridiplantae; Streptophyta; Magnoliopsida; Vitales; Vitaceae. The record is from RNAcentral.